This 491-nucleotide ribosomal RNA is filed under the name uncultured bacterium. Its description in RNAcentral is "partial 16S ribosomal RNA". It matches the Rfam family "Bacterial small subunit ribosomal RNA", at positions 29 to 507 of the family's 1533-position model. The record is from RNAcentral.
GUGAACGCUGGCGGUAGGCCUAACACAUGCAAGUCGAACGGCAGCACAGUAAGAGCUUGCUCUUACGGGUGGCGAGUGGCGGACGGGUGAGGAAUACAUCGGAAUCUACUUUUUCGUGGGGGAUAACGUAGGGAAACUUACGCUAAUACCGCAUACGACCUACGGGUGAAAGCAGGGGAUCUUCGGACCUUGCGCGGUUGAAUGAGCCGAUGUCGGAUUAUCUAGUUGGCGGGGUAAAGGCCCACCAAGGCGACGAUCCGUAGCUGGUCUGAGAGGAUGAUCAGCCACACUGGAACUGAGACACGGUCCAGACUCCUACGGGAGGCAGCAGUGGGGAAUAUUGGACAAUGGGCGCAAGCCUGAUCCAGCCAUACCGCGUGGGUGAAGAAGGCCUUCGGGUUGUAAAGCCCUUUUGUUGGGAAAGAAAAGCAGCAGGUUAAUACCCCGCUGUUCUGACGGUACCCAAAGAAUAAGCACCGGCUAACUUCGUG